UACAGAGGGUGCAAGCGUCAAUCGGAGUUACUGGGCGUAAAGGGCGCGUAGGUGGUUGAAUAAGUUAGGUGUGAAAGCCCCGGGCUUAACCUGGGAAUGGCGCCUAAUACUGUUUAGCUAGAGUACUGUAGAGGAAGGUGGAAUUUCCGGUGUAGCGGUGAAAUGCGUAGAUAUCGGAAGGAACAUCAGUGGCGAAGGCGACUUUCUGGACAGCUACUGACACUGAGGCACGAGAGCAUGGGGAGCAAACGGG
RNAcentral lists this ribosomal RNA (253 nucleotides) under uncultured bacterium. RNAcentral describes it as "partial 16S ribosomal RNA". It matches the Rfam family "Bacterial small subunit ribosomal RNA", at positions 524 to 776 of the family's 1533-position model. The record is from RNAcentral.